This 117-nucleotide ribosomal RNA is filed under the name Danio rerio (zebrafish). The record is from RNAcentral. Lineage: Eukaryota; Metazoa; Chordata; Actinopteri; Cypriniformes; Danionidae.
GGCCACAGCCAUAUCACCCUACAGCCCAAGACCCGUUACUUACUGAAGCUAAACAGGGCUGAGCCUGGUAAGUACCUGGAUGGACGACCAAAUGGAAAAACUAGGUUUCUCUUGAAA